RNAcentral lists this long non-coding RNA (741 nucleotides) under Panax ginseng (ginseng). RNAcentral's name for it is "long non-coding RNA (PGIN_LNC007934)". Lineage: Eukaryota; Viridiplantae; Streptophyta; Magnoliopsida; Apiales; Araliaceae. The record is from RNAcentral.
GUACGUGACCUUCAAAUACAUUCCUUACAAUAUCUGACAAUAGAUUCCAUUGUCUUACUAACUAUAACCAUUAACUCAUAAUAUAAACUCAUUCGAACAGCUUUCCUUUUCCCUUGUUCGUGCCCGAGCCUUCAGGUUGCUCAUACAUAACUGAAAACAUUUAAUUUAAGCAAGGAUGAGCAUUUGAGUGUCCAGCAAGUAAUAGCAAUUAUAUAUAUAAGCUGAAAGAAUAUAAGUAUUCUCUUUACAUAACAUUUCUACAACGAAUCGAAAGUUGUGAAGUAAUCUGUACUGAUAAAAAAUUCACAUAACAACUCUCUUCUAAAUUAUUUAAAUUUGGCUCUGGCUCUACCCAUGAAUAGGGUUUAAGAAACAUACUAUGAACAUUGUUUUUUCAUUUUUUAAAAGGUUUGGCAGAAAUCCAUCACAAACCGUCAUAACUUACGGGCACGGAGGGUGAUCAGCCCCGUUGUACCCUGUAUUGAUCAAUACUACAUAACUUGAACGAAAUUCAUCGCUCACCCUUUGUCCGCCGAAGCGCAUAAAAAUUUUCCCAUUAUCGGGAUGUUCAUACAUGCCUGGUUCCAAACCCGAAGGUUUUUAAUCUUGCUCAACAAUAAUAUGUAAUUCAACAUAUAUGUAUACGGGUAAUUGACAAAGGUAUAUCAACAUGUGAAUAAAUGCCAUGAUUAUCCAAGUGGGGACACUUGUAUAACCAUUUAGAAAUCAACUUAACAGAAU